RNAcentral lists this ribosomal RNA (252 nucleotides) under uncultured bacterium. Its description in RNAcentral is "partial 16S ribosomal RNA". It matches the Rfam family "Bacterial small subunit ribosomal RNA", at positions 524 to 776 of the family's 1533-position model. The record is from RNAcentral.
UACGUAGGGGGCUAGCGUUGUCCGGAUUUAUUGGGCGUAAAGAGCGUGUAGGCGCCAGGUAGGUCUGCUGUGAAAACUCGAGGCUCAACCUCGAGACGUCGGCGGAAACCAUCUGGCUAGAGUCCGGAAGAGGAGAGUGGAAUUCCUGGUGUAGCGGUGAAAUGCGCAGAUAUCAGGAAGAACACCCGUGGCGAAGGCGGCUCUCUGGGACGGUACUGACGCUGAGACGCGAAAGCGUGGGGAGCGAACAGG